AACGAACGCUGGCGGCAUGCCUAACACAUGCAAGUCGAACGAGACCUUCGGGUCUAGUGGCGCACGGGUGCGUAACGCGUGGGAACCUGCCCUUAGGUUCGGAAUAACUCCCCGAAAGGGGUGCUAAUACCGGAUAAUGUAUUAGGACCAAAGAUUUAUCGCCUUUGGAUGGGCCCGCGUUGGAUUAGCUAGUUGGUAGGGUAAAAGGCUACCAAGGCGACGAUCCAUAGCUGGUCUGAGAGGAUGAUCAGCCACACUGGGACUGAGACACGGCCCAGACUCCUACGGGAGGCAGCAGUGGGGAAUAUUGGACAAUGGGCGAAAGCCUGAGCCAGCAAUGCCGCGUGAGUGAUGAAGGCCUUAGGGUUGUAAAGCUCUUUUACCCGUGAUGAUAAUGACAGUACCGGGAGAAUAAGCGCCGGCUAACUCCGUG
This 433-nucleotide ribosomal RNA is filed under the name uncultured bacterium. Its description in RNAcentral is "partial 16S ribosomal RNA". It matches the Rfam family "Bacterial small subunit ribosomal RNA", at positions 29 to 507 of the family's 1533-position model. The record is from RNAcentral.